RNAcentral lists this ribosomal RNA (440 nucleotides) under uncultured bacterium. RNAcentral describes it as "partial 16S ribosomal RNA". It matches the Rfam family "Bacterial small subunit ribosomal RNA", at positions 338 to 795 of the family's 1533-position model. The record is from RNAcentral.
CCUACGGGAGGCAGCAGUGGGGAAUAUUGCACAAUGGGGGAAACCCUGAUGCAGCGACGCCGUGUGAGUGAAGAAGUAAUUCGUUAUGUAAAGCUCUAUCAGCAGGGAAGAAAAUGACGGUACCUGAGUAAGAAGCCCCGGCUAACUACGUGCCAGCAGCCGCGGUAAUACGUAGGGGGCAAGCGUUAUCCGGAUGUACUGGGUGUAAAGGGAGCGUAGACGGCAGUGCAAGUCUGGAGUGAAAGGCGGGGGCUCAACCCCCGGACUGCUCUGGGAACUGUACGGCUGGAGUGCGGGGGAGGUAAGAGGAAUUCCUAGUGUAGCGGUGAAAUGCGUAGAUAUUAGGAGGAACACCAGUGGCGAAGGCGGCUUACUGGACUGUAACUGACGUUGAGGCUCGAAAGCGUGGGGAGCAAACAGGAUUAGAUACCCCGGUAGUC